Molecule: ribosomal RNA, 898 nt
Filed under: Weissella cibaria
Lineage: Bacteria; Bacillati; Bacillota; Bacilli; Lactobacillales; Lactobacillaceae
Description: bacterial SSU rRNA
Rfam family: Bacterial small subunit ribosomal RNA
Source: RNAcentral
CUCUAUCAGGAUGAACGCUGGCGGCGUGCCUAAUACAUGCAAGUCGAACGCUUUGUGGUUCAACUGAUUUGAAGAGCUUGCUCAGAUAUGACGAUGGACAUUGCAAAGAGUGGCGAACGGGUGAGUAACACGUGGGAAACCUACCUCUUAGCAGGGGAUAACAUUUGGAAACAGAUGCUAAUACCGUAUAACAAUAGCAACCGCAUGGUUGCUACUUAAAAGAUGGUUCUGCUAUCACUAAGAGAUGGUCCCGCGGUGCAUUAGUUAGUUGGUGAGGUAAUGGCUCACCAAGACGAUGAUGCAUAGCCGAGUUGAGAGACUGAUCGGCCACAAUGGGACUGAGACACGGCCCAUACUCCUACGGGAGGCAGCAGUAGGGAAUCUUCCACAAUGGGCGAAAGCCUGAUGGAGCAACGCCGCGUGUGUGAUGAAGGGUUUCGGCUCGUAAAACACUGUUGUAAGAGAAGAAUGACAUUGAGAGUAACUGUUCAAUGUGUGACGGUAUCUUACCAGAAAGGAACGGCUAAAUACGUGCCAGCAGCCGCGGUAAUACGUAUGUUCCAAGCGUUAUCCGGAUUUAUUGGGCGUAAAGCGAGCGCAGACGGUUAUUUAAGUCUGAAGUGAAAGCCCUCAGCUCAACUGAGGAAUUGCUUUGGAAACUGGAUGACUUGAGUGCAGUAGAGGAAAGUGGAACUCCAUGUGUAGCGGUGAAAUGCGUAGAUAUAUGGAAGAACACCAGUGGCGAAGGCGGCUUUCUGGACUGUAACUGACGUUGAGGCUCGAAAGUGUGGGUAGCAAACAGGAUUAGAUACCCUGGUAGUCCACACCGUAAACGAUGAGUGCUAGGUGUUUGAGGGUUUCCGCCCUUAAGUGCCGCAGCUAACGCAUAAGCACUCCG